GUAGUCUGCAACCCGACUACAUGAAGCUGGAAUCGCUAGUAAUCGCGGAUCAGAAUGCCGCGGUGAAUACGUUCCCGGGUCUUGUACACACCGCCCGUCACACCAUGGGAGUCGGAAAUGCCCGAAGUCUGUGACCCAACCUUAGGGAGGGAGCAGCCGAAGGCAGGUCGGAUGACUGGGGUGAAGUCGUAACAAGGUAUC
RNAcentral lists this ribosomal RNA (201 nucleotides) under uncultured bacterium. RNAcentral's name for it is "partial 16S ribosomal RNA". It matches the Rfam family "Bacterial small subunit ribosomal RNA", at positions 1300 to 1500 of the family's 1533-position model. The record is from RNAcentral.